AACAGGAUUAGAUACCCUGGUAGUCCACGCUGUAAACGAUGUCGACUUGGAGGUUGUGCCCUUGAGGCGUGGCUUCCGGAGCUAACGCGUUAAGUCGACCGCCUGGGGAGUACGGCCGCAAGGUUAAAACUCAAAUGAAUUGACGGGGGCCCGCACAAGCGGUGGAGCAUGUGGUUUAAUUCGAUGCAACGCGAAGAACCUUACCUACUCUUGACAUCCAGAGAAUUUGCUAGAGAUAGCUUAGUGCCUUCGGGAACUCUGAGACAGGUGCUGCAUGGCUGUCGUCAGCUCGUGUUGUGAAAUGUUGGGUUAAGUCGCAACGAGCGCAACCCUUAUCCUUUGUUGCCAGCGAGUAAUGUCGGGAACUCAAAGGAGACUGCCGGUGAUAAACCGGAGGAAGGUGGGGAUGACGUCAAGUCAUCAUGGCCCUUACGAGUAGGGCUACACACGUGCUACAAUGGCAUAUACAAAGAGAAGCGAACUCGCGAGAGCAAGCGGACCUCAUAAAGUAUGUCGUAGUCCGGAUUGGAGUCUGCAACUCAACUCCAUGAAGUCGGAAUCGCUAGUAAUCGUAGAUCAGAAUGCUACGGUGAAUACGUUCCCGGGCCUUGUACACACCGCCCGUCACACCAUGGGAGUGGGUUGCAAAAGAAGUAGGUAGCUUAACCUUCGGGAGGGCGCUUACCACUUUGUGAUUCAUGACUGGGGUGAAGUCGUAACAAGGUAACC
RNAcentral lists this ribosomal RNA (729 nucleotides) under uncultured bacterium. RNAcentral describes it as "bacterial SSU rRNA". It matches the Rfam family "Bacterial small subunit ribosomal RNA", at positions 771 to 1501 of the family's 1533-position model. The record is from RNAcentral.